GGGCAUGUAGUUCAGAGGAUAGAGCACCAGAUUCCGGUUCUGGGUGUCGGGGGUUCGACUCCCUCCAUGCUCG
This 73-nucleotide transfer RNA is filed under the name Cyanobacteria bacterium J055. RNAcentral's name for it is "tRNA-Arg". It matches the Rfam family "tRNA". Rfam says of the family: Transfer RNA (tRNA) molecules are approximately 80 nucleotides in length. The record is from RNAcentral. Lineage: Bacteria; Bacillati; Cyanobacteriota.